This is a long non-coding RNA of Gymnodraco acuticeps, 216 nucleotides long. RefSeq lists it as uncharacterized. NCBI's taxonomy places the organism in Eukaryota, Metazoa, Chordata, Actinopteri, Perciformes, Bathydraconidae. The transcript has 3 exons. The record is from RefSeq and is a predicted model, not a curated record.
CAUUCAACCCUCUGAUUUACAACCUGUUGCAGAGACACACAACAAAAGUGUGGGAAGCAGCCAACCCUCUGAUUUACAACCUGUUCCAGAGACAGCCAACCAAAACGGGGAAAGCAGUCAACCUCCUGAUUUAAAACCUGUUGCAGAGGUUUGUCAUAUGUCUUUCUGUUUCUGUGUUGGCAUAUUACAGUUAUAGAUAGUAUACAUAGAGACCUA